Molecule: ribosomal RNA, 450 nt
Filed under: uncultured bacterium
Lineage: Bacteria
Description: bacterial SSU rRNA
Rfam family: Bacterial small subunit ribosomal RNA
Source: RNAcentral
AUGAACGCUGGCGGCGUGUCUAAGGCAUGCAAGUCGAAAGUCGGUAGCAAUACCGGCUUGGCAAACGGGUGAGUAACACAUUGGUAACCUACCCUCCGCAGGAGCAUAACCCCGCGAAAGCAGGGACAAUACUCCGUACGUCCCGAUUUUAUAUGAGAUCGGGAGAAAGAUUUAUCGGCGGAGGAGGGGCCUAUGGCCUAUCAGCUAGUUGGUAAGGUAACGGCUUACCAAGGCUACGACGGGUAGCGGGUGUGAGAGCAUGACCCGCCUCAUGGGGACUGAGACACUGCCCCGACUCCUACGGGAGGCUGCAGUUAAGAAUCUUCCGCAAUGGCCGAAAGGCUGACGGAGCGACGCCGCGUGGAGGAAGAAGCUCUUCGGAGCGUAAACUCCUUUUAUAAGGGACGAAUUAUUGACGGUACCUUAUGAAUAAGGGGCUGCUAACCUCGU